Molecule: transfer-messenger RNA, 397 nt
Filed under: Patescibacteria group bacterium
Lineage: Bacteria
Rfam family: transfer-messenger RNA
About the family: Bacterial tmRNA, also known as 10Sa RNA or SsrA, is named for its dual tRNA and mRNA-like properties.
Source: RNAcentral
GGGGAUGACCGGCUUCGAUAGAAAGCACACUGCUAAAAACAGCUAAUCGAGUAUUCUAAAACCUCGCAAAACUUUUAGAAAAAUCAUAAGUGCCAAAUCACUUAUCAGCAAAGUAAGAACCGCGGUUGCUUCGGCUUUCGCGGCUCCGUCAUUUGCGACAGCUCUCGCCUAAUCGCUUGAGCCAUCGGCCUUGCGACUCCUGAUAGCAAGCAACCGGUGCCAUUUAUCAGGAUAGGCAUACUUUUUGCUCAAAAAUUAUGCUGAAAAACAGAGCGUAGAAUCCCUGCAUUCUUGUUUGUUCGCAACCAGGGAUUUGAAACAAUUGAACAAACUAUAUUAGUAGAAUGUUUUUAGCUUUUCUUUCUACACGCGGGUUCAAUUCCCGCCAUCUCCACUC